Molecule: long non-coding RNA, 2385 nt
Organism: Betta splendens (Siamese fighting fish)
Lineage: Eukaryota; Metazoa; Chordata; Actinopteri; Anabantiformes; Osphronemidae
Exons: 2
Source: RefSeq, a predicted model, not a curated record
UAUGCUCAGAUUCCAGCUCAGCUUUAAUUUAAAUAAAAUCAUUUUCAUACCGGAAUAGGCAGGAUAUAAUUAAUGCAAUUUGGUAGCGCGUCAACCUCGGAAGGCAAAAGGUCUGCGUUUCGAUCCCCCACCUCGGCAUCAGGUGUGCCCCUGAGCAAGACACUUCGCGCUAGCUCCCCGAGCGCCGCUCAUGUGGCAGCUCACUCCCCCCUUAAGGGGGAUGGGUCAAAUGCAGAGAACAAAUUUCCCCACUGUGGGACUAAUAAGGGUUAAUUUCUCUUUCUCUUCUAAACAUAGCAGUUACAUUUAUGCAUGUACCGGCACACACAGAGAUUAGAGGGAACGAGAUGGCAGAUUCACUGGCAAAGGAGCCAAUCAAACAGGAAAGGUUUAUGGAUAUUAGUAAGGCAGAAGCGAAAUCCUUAAAAGUAAAAUCAUCAAUAAAUGGCAAAAUAACUGGGUUAAGGGACGAACAGGCAGACAUCUGUAUAAAAUACAGAGGGAAGUAGGGAAGAUGAGGGCAGCAUCUACUCUGGUCCACACUCCAGCAUAGUACUGUAGGUGGCAGUAAGGUGGCACCUUUCAGUUAGUUACCACCGGCCAUUUAAAAGACAAAAAAAGAAGAGGAGCCGCGCAUUUGGGUCCUUCCUGACAAGCAGAUGUUAACCCUCAUUAUUGCAGGAGACGCUCCUCAUUGGCUCGGUUGACUCAUAAACAAUACAGUAAACAUAUAGUUUCGGUCACGGGUUGUGACAUGUUGUGUAGAUCUGUUACACAUUAGUGUAGUGAAGGGGAGAGAGUUUAAUUUGUGUUGGUAAAAGGUUCGAAAUGUUGUGUUUAGAAAGCUUUAUUUAAAACAGAAGUGUUGAGUGUAGAUUGUUUUACUCAGUUAUUAUUCCACACGCAUCUUCCUUUAUUUACCCUAACUUCAUUGUGCAGUCAUAAAUCAUAGUGAUCAUCCCUUAAAUCUUAAUAUUUUUAUUUCUGGUGUAUAGUUGAAGCUGAUGCAGUCGGAGCGGAACGUUGAAGAAGUCGUCAAUGACAGAAGUCUGAAGGUUUUCAAUGAAAGGUGCAGAAUCCACUACACGCCUCCAAAGGUGAAGUUAACCUCCUACUGGUUCCAGUCCAGACCAGAUCUGAGACUGUGAGCUGCUGCUGAGUCCUGACUGCAGCCUGUUCAGCACCCAGACCGACCCGGACCUCUAGUCCAACACACUUUAUUCCAUAGUGAUGAUUGAUUGCAGUUACCACCAGUGUAUAACAGACAUCUACUGUAUGUGCUUCUGCAAUGAGAGACAUUGUACAAAUAGUAUUUUUUUGAAUGAAAUGUUCUUAGAUGGUGUUUGUGGUGUGUGAUUUAAACCAUUUACAAAGUGUUGGUCCUUAUGUUAAUGCCUGGAAUCCUGCACAUAAUCAGAGGUUUCGUAGGUAAUUGCGUAACAGGUUUAGGAGGAGUUAAGAAACUAGGAUCCUGGAAAUUUGCAUAUAUGUUACAUGCAGAAGUGAUCUCAUUUCUCAUCUGCCUUGACUUUAUUUUGGCAAUUAAAUUUUUUAAAGACCGAAAUCACUGCUUCUGGGCUGGAGAGAAAACUGUGAGAGACUCAAACGGUGUUCAUUUUUACACCAAACAGUGACCAGUAAAUGUUUGAGCCUUCAUUAGACACAUGUAAUCUUAGAAAAAGUUGCAUAAACCUCAGGGUUUGUGGGUAAACCCAGGAAAGCCAACUCUCUCUGAUGUCCUACCCUGAAACAUUUUGUUAAAAUAUUCUAUUAACAGGACAGAAAAACAGGACUUUCUUGUCCGAUUAGAUUCUGUACGCGCCUCAACACAACACUUGAUGUGUAAAUGUCUCCUUCAGUCAUAUGCAUAAAGUAGCAGUUUGUUGUUUGUUUGAUGUUGAAGCAGAAAAUGCAUCAUGAAGAUUUUGAGAAGGUUUAAUCAUUAGAGGAUUAAUUUAAAGGCUGUAGAAAUAUAAUCACCAGCUCAUAUAAAACUCCACAUUACUAUAAGUCAUUGAAUGUAUCACUAGAGACUGUUUACGCACCUCCAUCCUCAUCAUGAGGACCUUUAAUGUAAACAAACAUUGAUUUUAACCAAUUUAUUGAGCACCGCAAAAGCAAAGCAAUAAUAGUAAACAUCAAACAUCAAAUUAUAAGGAAAUUAAUUUAAACCUUUGUUAAUUUAGGAAUGAACCUAUUUUAUAAGUCAGACUUUAAUAAUAAACAAAUUGAGUCAAUCUUAUUUCAAUCCAUUCUUUAAUUUUCUUUUUUAAACAAGUACAAGGAGCUCCUGAUUGUCAUUGUAGACUUUGUGCUUGAACGCGUUAAAACUGAAGCAAACAACAAACAGCAGAGUUUGGUUCUGAGGCUUCAGUUCUACAGAAG